GAUGAACGCUGGCGGCGUGCUUAACACAUGCAAGUCGAACGGAAAGGCCUCUGCUUGCAGGGGUACUCGAGUGGCGAACGGGUGAGUAACACGUGGGUGAUCUGCCCUGCACUUCGGGAUAAGCAUGGGAAACUGGGUCUAAUACCGGAUAGGACAAUGGUUUGGAUGCUGUUGUGGAAAGUUUUUCGGUGUGGGAUGAGCUCGCGGCCUAUCAGCUUGUUGGUGGGUAAUGGCCUACCAAGGCGUUGAAGGGUAGCCGGCCUGAGAGGGUGUAAGGCCACAUUGGGACUGAGAUACGGCCCAGACUCCGACGGGAUGCAGCAGUGGGGAAUAUUGCACAAUGGGCGCAAGCCUGAUGCAGCGACGCCGCGUGGGGGAUGACGGCCUUCGGGUUGUAAACUCCUUUCGCUAGGGACGAAGCGUUUUUGUGACGGUACCUGGAGAAGAAGCACCGGCUAACUACGUG
This 466-nucleotide ribosomal RNA is filed under the name uncultured bacterium. Its description in RNAcentral is "partial 16S ribosomal RNA". It matches the Rfam family "Bacterial small subunit ribosomal RNA", at positions 28 to 507 of the family's 1533-position model. The record is from RNAcentral.